ACUUCAAUUACAUCGACACGUAAUACAACGUAGGUCGACGAAAAAAGCGUCAAGUAAAAACGCAUUAUUAGAUAUAACUCGAAAAGUAGUUGUUAGAUCUCAAAUAAAUUUAAAUGGGACCAAUUGGCACACACCACCUUUCGAUUAUAACAAAAUUUGUCGAAAUCGGUCUACGCGGUCAAAAGUUCUGAUGUAACAUACAAAA
Molecule: unclassified non-coding RNA, 205 nt
Filed under: Melitaea cinxia (Glanville fritillary)
Lineage: Eukaryota; Metazoa; Arthropoda; Insecta; Lepidoptera; Nymphalidae
Description: misc RNA ENSMCXG00005009182.1
Source: RNAcentral